CGAAUUAUAGUUUAAUUGGUUAGAACGUUAGCUUGUCGAGCUUGAAGUAUGAGUUCAAAUCUCAUUUUUUCAG
Molecule: transfer RNA, 73 nt
Filed under: Phaeocystis globosa
Lineage: Eukaryota; Haptophyta; Phaeocystales; Phaeocystaceae
Description: tRNA-Asp
Rfam family: tRNA
About the family: Transfer RNA (tRNA) molecules are approximately 80 nucleotides in length. Their secondary structure includes four short double-helical elements and three loops (D, anti-codon, and T loops).
Source: RNAcentral